UCCAGGGUAGCCUAGUGGUCAUGGCAACUGCCCGGUAAGCGGAAGGUCGUGGGUUCGAUUCCCAUCCCUUGAAU
Molecule: transfer RNA, 74 nt
Filed under: Cordylochernes scorpioides
Lineage: Eukaryota; Metazoa; Arthropoda; Arachnida; Pseudoscorpiones; Chernetidae
Description: tRNA-Thr
Rfam family: tRNA
About the family: Transfer RNA (tRNA) molecules are approximately 80 nucleotides in length. Their secondary structure includes four short double-helical elements and three loops (D, anti-codon, and T loops).
Source: RNAcentral